CUAGCCUAACGCCGUCCUCCCCUGCGGCCCCGCCUAGCCUAACGCCGUCCUCCCCUGCGGCCCCCUAGCCUAACGCCAUCCUCCCCUGCGGCCCCCUAGCCUAACGCCGUCCUCCCCUGCGGCCCCCUAGCCUAACGCCGUCCUCCCCUGCACCCCCCCAGCCCAACGCCGUCCUCCCCUGCGGCCCCCUAGCCCAACGCUGUCCUCCCCUGCGCCCCCCUAGCCUAACGCN
This 232-nucleotide long non-coding RNA is filed under the name Volvox carteri. RNAcentral's name for it is "long non-coding RNA (VCAR_LNC003963)". Lineage: Eukaryota; Viridiplantae; Chlorophyta; Chlorophyceae; Chlamydomonadales; Volvocaceae. The record is from RNAcentral.